RNAcentral lists this long non-coding RNA (408 nucleotides) under Helianthus annuus (common sunflower). The record is from RNAcentral. Lineage: Eukaryota; Viridiplantae; Streptophyta; Magnoliopsida; Asterales; Asteraceae.
UUUACACCAACCUUCGACCACAACCUUCCCCUCACAUCACCCUCACAACCCCUCUGUUCGUUAACAACCCCGCCGGAGACCACCUAGUCGUCGCCGGAGACGAAACAGUAGGCCGCCAUAUCACCACCACGAAACCUUUCACCAUCCUCCGUUUUGACCCGCAAUACCUUGGAGAACCCUUGUUCGGAGACCCGCAACCACCGGAGAUCAUGAUGAAAUGGUUUGGCCAUGUUUCGUUCAACCGAGCUCGAUGUAAUCGGAACUCCACUCCGUCCCUGUUGCGGUAUACCAUCCUCCCCGGAACCCUACUCGGCUCGUUUUUCAAAACAUUGGGUGAUGUUGCUUGUUAACUGGGAGUUCGCUGGGUCCUCUUCAGGAAGAAGAAGAAGGUGUCAAUUUUUACAAAGG